CCUACGGGUGGCAGCAGUGAGGAAUAUUGGUCAAUGGGCGGGAGCCUGAACCAGCCAAGUCGCGUGAGGGAAGACGGUCCUACGGAUUGUAAACCUCUUUUGCCGGGGAGCAACGGGGUCCUUGCGAGGGCCCGACGAGAGUACCCGGAGAAAAAGCAUCGGCUAACUUCGUGCCAGCAGCCGCGGUAAUACGGAGGAUGCGAGCGUUAUCCGGAUUUAUUGGGUUUAAAGGGUGCGUAGGCGGGCUGUUAAGUCAGCGGUCAAAUGUCGGGGCUCAACCCCGUCCUGCAGUUGAAACUGGCGGCCUAGAGUGGGCGAGAAGUAUGCGGAAUGCGUGGUGUAGCGGUGAAAUGCAUAGAUAUCACGCAGAACACCGAUUGCGAAGGCGGCAUACCGGCGCCCGACUGACGCUGAGGCACGAAAGCGUGGGGAGCGAACAGGAUUAGAUACCCGGGUAGUC
RNAcentral lists this ribosomal RNA (460 nucleotides) under uncultured bacterium. RNAcentral's name for it is "partial 16S ribosomal RNA". It matches the Rfam family "Bacterial small subunit ribosomal RNA", at positions 338 to 795 of the family's 1533-position model. The record is from RNAcentral.